UACACAAGUACCAGUUUUUUC
Molecule: non-coding RNA, 21 nt
Filed under: Caenorhabditis elegans
Lineage: Eukaryota; Metazoa; Nematoda; Chromadorea; Rhabditida; Rhabditidae
Source: RNAcentral